UACGUAGGGUGCGAGCGUUGUCCGGAAUUAUUGGGCGUAAAGAGCUCAUAGGCGGUGUGUCACGUCGGCCGUGAAAACCUGCAGCUUAACUGUGGGCGUGCGGUCGAUACGGGCAUCACUGGAGUUCGGCAGGGGAGACUGGAAUUCCUGGUGUAGCGGUGAAAUGCGCAGAUAUCAGGAGGAACACCGGUGGCGAAGGCGGGUCUCUGGGCCGAUACUGACGCUGAGGAGCGAAAGCGUGGGGAGCAAACAAG
RNAcentral lists this ribosomal RNA (254 nucleotides) under uncultured bacterium. Its description in RNAcentral is "partial 16S ribosomal RNA". It matches the Rfam family "Bacterial small subunit ribosomal RNA", at positions 524 to 776 of the family's 1533-position model. The record is from RNAcentral.